This 574-nucleotide long non-coding RNA is filed under the name Cicer arietinum (chickpea). RNAcentral's name for it is "long non-coding RNA (CARI_LNC001452)". The record is from RNAcentral. Lineage: Eukaryota; Viridiplantae; Streptophyta; Magnoliopsida; Fabales; Fabaceae.
UCUAAUUAGAGUUUUAAAACCAAAUCAAAUUACAAACUAAGAAUAAAGGCAAAAAUAAAUUACAAUAAAAAUCAAAUCAGAUCAAGCCAUGCUAUGUUGACUUUGUUCACUGCCAAACCCUGCCAUGUUGAUGAUGACUGCCAUUGAUGCACAAGCCAUGCUUAUUGGUACAUCUGUUCCUGUUUUAACUAAAUUGAGAAACAUAAAAACAUAAUUUUUUAAAUCAGUCUUGGUACACAUUGUGCAGAACAAAGAGACAACUUUUAGAGUUUAAAAAAAAAGAAACUAAAAGACAAAUUAAAGCUCAGCAACAGAACUGAUCAAAACAGAUAAGUCAAAACCAUGAAUACAUCAGGGAUGCAGAAAAAUGCAGAUGAUGAGCAAGGCAAUCAAAACAUCAAACAGGAAAUAGAUAGAGAAGGACCAAGGCAGACAAAGAAAGCAACUGAACACAUAAAAAACUCUAUAAAUAUACCCUAUAAAAUUUCAAAGGGGGAGGAUCGGAGAUUAACACCAUUAAAAAACGCACAAAGAAAGAUAAAAGGAAAAAAACCAAACCUUUAUAUUGUCACCA